AGAGUUUGAUUAUGGCUCAGGAUGAACGCUGGCGGCGUGCCAAUACAUGCAAGUCGAGCGAGAAUCUUUCAGAAGCGUUUCGGACAAUUCAGAGAAGAGGAAAGCGGCGGACGGGUGAGUAACGCGUAGGCAACCUGCCCUUAGCAGAGGGAUAGCCAUUGGAAACGAUGAUUAAAACCUCAUAACGCCGGAUCGGCACAUGCCGGACCGGCCAAAGAUUUAUCGGCUAGGGGAUGGGCCUGCGUCUGAUUAACUAGUUGGUGAGGUAACGGCCCACCAAGGUGACGAUCAGUAGCCGACCUGAGAGGGUGAUCGGCCACAUUGGGACUGAGACACGGCCCAAACUCCUACGGGAGGCAGCAGUGGGGAAUAUUGCACAAUGGGGGAAACCCUGAUGCAAGCGACGCCGCGUGAGUGAGGAAGUAUUUCGGUAUGUAAAACUCUAUCAGCAGGGAAGAUAAUGACGGUACCUGACUAAGAAGCACCGGCUAAAUACGUGCCAGCCGCCGC
RNAcentral lists this ribosomal RNA (510 nucleotides) under uncultured bacterium. RNAcentral describes it as "bacterial SSU rRNA". It matches the Rfam family "Bacterial small subunit ribosomal RNA", at positions 8 to 518 of the family's 1533-position model. The record is from RNAcentral.